RNAcentral lists this transfer RNA (85 nucleotides) under Felis catus (domestic cat). It matches the Rfam family "tRNA". Rfam says of the family: Transfer RNA (tRNA) molecules are approximately 80 nucleotides in length. Their secondary structure includes four short double-helical elements and three loops (D, anti-codon, and T loops). Further hydrogen bonds mediate the characteristic L-shaped molecular structure. tRNAs have two regions of fundamental functional importance: the anti-codon, which is responsible for specific mRNA codon recognition, and the 3' end, to which the tRNAs corresponding amino acid is attached (by aminoacyl-tRNA synthetases). tRNAs cope with the degeneracy of the genetic code in two manners: having more than one tRNA (with a specific anti-codon) for a particular amino acid; and 'wobble' base-pairing, i.e. permitting non-standard base-pairing at the 3rd anti-codon position. The record is from Rfam by way of RNAcentral. Lineage: Eukaryota; Metazoa; Chordata; Mammalia; Carnivora; Felidae.
GCCUGGGUGGCUCAGUCGGUUAAGUGUCUGACUUCGGCUCAGGUCAUGAUCUCACAGUUCGUGGGUUCAAGUCCUGCGUCGGGCU